UACGAAGGGGGCUAGCGUUGCUCGGAAUCACUGGGCGUAAAGGGCUCGUAGGCGGUUUGUCGCGUCGGGAGUGAAAACUCAGGGCUCAACCCUGAGCGUGCUUCCGAUACGGGCAGACUAGAGGUAUGCAGGGGAGAACGGAAUUCCUGGUGUAGCGGUGGAAUGCGCAGAUAUCAGGAGGAACACCGGUGGCGAAGGCGGGUCUCUGGGCCGAUACUGACGCUGAGGAGCGAAAGCGUGGGGAGCAAACAGG
RNAcentral lists this ribosomal RNA (253 nucleotides) under uncultured bacterium. RNAcentral describes it as "partial 16S ribosomal RNA". It matches the Rfam family "Bacterial small subunit ribosomal RNA", at positions 524 to 776 of the family's 1533-position model. The record is from RNAcentral.